This 81-nucleotide non-coding RNA is filed under the name Sulfurovum sp. RNAcentral's name for it is "c-di-GMP sequence". It matches the Rfam family "c-di-GMP-I riboswitch aptamer". Rfam says of the family: GEMM was predicted in a large-scale screen for bacterial structured RNA regulatory elements. The record is from RNAcentral. Lineage: Bacteria; Pseudomonadati; Campylobacterota; Epsilonproteobacteria; Campylobacterales; Sulfurovaceae.
AAAUGAAAAAGCCAAACUUGUUGUGAGACAGGGACGGAAAGUUAUGGGACUUUAGAAUAUCAAGUUUACCAGACUGCCAUA